AAUUUAUCUAACGGUGGAUCAUGCACAUAUAGCACUGACAGAAAUAAUGACGUAAAUUAAAUACGUGACUACAAUAAUUUUGAUUAAAAAAAUAUAUAAGAAGAAGAAAAUUUACAAAUGAAAAAGAAAGAAAAUAAACCCCCUCCAAAAUAAGUAUUCCGCCUCAGUCCUUUAUGUUUUUUUUCCUUUCUCCGUUGACGUCUGCGCCUUCCCCCGCCUCCCCUUUUCUUUUCUUUUUCCCCCUCUCCAAUCUUUCCUCGCUUCUUUCUCUUUUUGUUUCAACGCCCAGCAGCAGUGAAAAAUAAAAUAAUAGAUAUUGUCAAAAAAAAUUAUCAAUCCUGUCUUUCACUUUAACUCCCUCUCCCCUUUUUAUCGAUCUCAAAUUGGAAGACAACAAAGAGAAAGACUAUUGAAAAAUUGAUAAAUUUUGGUUGGAAAACUCUUCUUAUGCAAUCUGACUUCUUCUUUCUUUUUGAUUUUACCAUUCGUAUCCUUCUUUGACAUAACUUCGCCGACCUUGAUAGAAUUUUAGUAUGUGGCCUAUUGACUCUUUAACUUGGGAUAUGAAUUUUAUGAAUUUUGCUAGAAGUGAGAGAUGGAAUUUUCCCCCGAUGGCAACUCUGAUGUGUAGAAGAAAUAGUGAAAUAAAUAAAAUAAGAAAAGAAAUUUUGAUAAAUUAGUUUUUAAAAAGGGACCCACAAAUGAAAUAUAUAAAAU
This 717-nucleotide long non-coding RNA is filed under the name Nicotiana benthamiana. RNAcentral describes it as "long non-coding RNA (NBEN_LNC037353)". Lineage: Eukaryota; Viridiplantae; Streptophyta; Magnoliopsida; Solanales; Solanaceae. The record is from RNAcentral.